This 766-nucleotide long non-coding RNA is filed under the name Rhinopithecus bieti (black snub-nosed monkey). Its description in RNAcentral is "lncRNA (ENSRBIG00000045919.1)". The record is from RNAcentral. Lineage: Eukaryota; Metazoa; Chordata; Mammalia; Primates; Cercopithecidae.
GGAGGACCGCUCGCUGGCGGCUGAUCCGGCGUCUCCGUGACAGGCAACCCAGCUCCUCCGCCACCGCCCCACCGCCACCGCCACCGCCACCGUCGCCUUUUCUUCUUAGUCCCAGGCCGUGCGUUCCACUGCUCUGGGGCGGGCGCCGCGCCCAGUCCCUGCUUCGGCCGCGCGCCCCACCGCUUCCCUCCCCGGCAGGGGAAGCCGCGCAGCCGCUCCCGCCGCCACCUCCUCCCCCGCCGCCCUUCCUCGCUGCAGGAAUUGCGCGGACCAACAGCCGCUCGCGUCGCCCGCAUCCGCGCAGCCCGCUGCCGCUCGGCCCUCGGCACCGCUCUGGGUCCGGCCGCUGCCUGCCCCGCGCUCCCAGGCCCCACCACGCGUCGCCGCGCCCAGCUCCAGCCUCCCCUCCCCCGGGUCUCGCCAGCCCCUUCCUGCAGCCGCCGCCGCCUCCGAAGGAGCGGGUCCGCUGCAGGUCACCAUGCCCAGCAAAACCAAGUACAACCUUGUGGACGAUGGGCACGAUCUGCGGAUCCCCUUGCACAACGAGGACGCCUUCCAGCACGGCAUCUGCUUUGAGGCCAAGUACGUAGGAAGCCUGGACGUGCCAAGGCCCAACAGCAGGGUGGAGAUCGUGGCUGCCAUGCGCCGGAUCCGGGCUCCGGGAAUGUCAGUGCAUUUUCUUCUGCCAUUUUGUCUACUUGCGGAAAGUUCAGUAUACCUUCUCGUUGGUAUAUGUGGUUCAGUCUAUGAACUUGUUGCUUUCUGA